This 492-nucleotide ribosomal RNA is filed under the name uncultured bacterium. RNAcentral describes it as "partial 16S ribosomal RNA". It matches the Rfam family "Bacterial small subunit ribosomal RNA", at positions 29 to 507 of the family's 1533-position model. The record is from RNAcentral.
AGUGAACGCUGGCGGUAGACCUAACACAUGCAAGUCGAACGGCAGCACAGUAAGAGCUUGCUCUUACGGGUGGCGAGUGGCGGACGGGUGAGGAAUACAUCGGAAUCUACUUUUUCGUGGGGGAUAACGUAGGGAAACUUACGCUAAUACCGCAUACGACCUACGGGUGAAAGCAGGGGAUCUUCUGACCUUGCGCGAUUGAAUGAGCCGAUGUCGGAUUAGCUAGUUGGCGGGGUAAAGGCCCACCAAGGCGACGAUCCGUAGCUGGUCUGAGAGGAUGAUCAGCCACACUGGAACUGAGACACGGUCCAGACUCCUACGGGAGGCAGCAGUGGGGAAUAUUGGACAAUGGGCGCAAGCCUGAUCCAGCCAUACCGCGUGGGUGAAGAAGGCCUUCGGGUUGUAAAGCCCUUUUGUUGGGAAAGAAAAGCAGCAGGUUAAUACCCCGCUGUUCUGACGGUACCCAAAGAAUAAGCACCGGCUAACUUCGUG